This 492-nucleotide ribosomal RNA is filed under the name uncultured bacterium. RNAcentral's name for it is "bacterial SSU rRNA". It matches the Rfam family "Bacterial small subunit ribosomal RNA", at positions 501 to 989 of the family's 1533-position model. The record is from RNAcentral.
CUACGUGCCAGCAGCCGCGGUAAUACGUAGGGCGCGAGCGUUGUCCGGAAUUAUUGGGCGUAAAGAGCUUGUAGGCGGUUUGUCGCGUCUGCUGUGAAAGGCCGGGGCUUAACUCCGUGUAUUGCAGUGGGUACGGGCAGACUAGAGUGCAGUAGGGGAGACUGGAAUUCCUGGUGUAGCGGUGGAAUGCGCAGAUAUCAGGAGGAACACCGAUGGCGAAGGCAGGUCUCUGGGCUGUAACUGACGCUGAGAAGCGAAAGCAUGGGGAGCGAACAGGAUUAGAUACCCUGGUAGUCCAUGCCGUAAACGUUGGGCACUAGGUGUGGGGGACAUUCCGCGUUUUCCGCGCCGUAGCUAACGCAUUAAGUGCCCCGCCUGGGGAGUACGGCCGCAAGGCUAAAACUCAAAGAAAUUGACGGGGGCCCGCACAAGCGGCGGAGCAUGCGGAUUAAUUCGAUGCAACGCGAAGAACCUUACCAAGGCUUGACAUGC